GAUGCCCUUUGGGGGCGUGCUUAACACAUGCAAGUCGAGCGAAGCGGCUGAAUUGAUUCUUCGGAUGAUUUUCAGUUGACUGAGCGGCGGACGGGUGAGUAACGCGUGGGUGACCUGCCCCAUACCGGGGGAUAACAGCUGGAAACGGCUGCUAAUACCGCAUAAGCGCACAGAGCUGCAUGGCUCGGUGUGAAAAACUCCGGUGGUAUGGGAUGGGCCCGCGUCUGAUUAGGCAGUUGGCGGGGUAACGGCCCACCAAACCGACGAUCAGUAGCCGGCCUGAGAGGGCGACCGGCCACAUUGGGACUGAGACACGGCCCAAACUCCUACGGGAGGCAGCAGUGGGGAAUAUUGCACAAUGGGGGAAACCCUGAUGCAGCGACGCCGCGUGAGCGAAGAAGUAUUUCGGUAUGUAAAGCUCUAUCAGCAGGGAAGAUAAUGACGGUACCUGACUAAGAAGCCCCGGCUAACUACGUGCCAGCAGCCGCGGUAAUACGUAGGGGGCAAGCGUUAUCCGGAUUUACUGGGUGUAAAGGGAGCGUAGACGGCAAGGCAAGUCUGAUGUGAAAACCCAGGGCUUAACCCUGGGACUGCAUUGGAAACUGUCCGGCUCGAGUGCCGGAGAGGUAAGCGGAAUUCCUAGUGUAGCGGUGAAAUGCGUAGAUAUUAGGAAGAACACCAGUGGCGAAGGCGGCUUACUGGACGGUAACUGACGUUGAGGCUCGAAAGCGUGGGGAGCAAACAA
This 745-nucleotide ribosomal RNA is filed under the name uncultured bacterium. RNAcentral's name for it is "bacterial SSU rRNA". It matches the Rfam family "Bacterial small subunit ribosomal RNA", at positions 28 to 775 of the family's 1533-position model. The record is from RNAcentral.